UACGGAGGAUGCUAGCGUUAUCCGGAUUUACUGGGCGUAAAGGGUCCGUAGGUGGCCUUUCAAGUCGGUGGUUAAAGGCUACGGCUCAACAGAAUUAAGCCGCCGAAACUGGAAGACUUGAGUGCAGGAGAGGAAAGUGGAAUUCCCAGUGUAGCGGUGAAAUGCGUAGAUAUUGAGAAGAACACCAGUAGCGAAGGCGGCUUUCUGGACUGUAACUGACACUGAGGCACGAAAGCGUGGGUAGCAAAUGGG
This 252-nucleotide ribosomal RNA is filed under the name uncultured bacterium. RNAcentral describes it as "partial 16S ribosomal RNA". It matches the Rfam family "Bacterial small subunit ribosomal RNA", at positions 524 to 776 of the family's 1533-position model. The record is from RNAcentral.